GUGGCAUUUCAUUUAUCGGAUAAGUUUUACUACUCUAUUUUAUUUCCAAAUUUUUUCUCUCUCUCUUCUUUCGACUUCCCCUAGAAACGAAAAAAAAUGGAACCCUAGAUUUAGUUUCAAUCUUCUUCGGCGGAUUUGAUUCAGUCGGGGGUUUGAUUCUAAUAUCUCGAUUUCGUUUUGGAGGAUUCUCAUCUCAGAUCCGAUACUAUUUUAUCCAAUAUUCAUCUCGAUUUCAAUCUUAACUUUCCCAAUUUUCUUCUUCUUCUGCUGGUGUCGCUGGAGCUGCGGAUCGAAGUUUUGAGAUUGUGCACUACUAUUUGCGAGACGUUAAUUUCCUUGCUGGAUUCACUUGUACAUCAUCUACUCUCAUUUUGCUUCAACCUAAUUGCAUCUGAAGACCUAUUCAGGAAGUGGUGACUUUUUAUCCUCUCAUUCGAUCAACUUAGCAGGGGAGGAUGCUUGCUGGAUUCACUUGUAAAUCAUAUACUCUCAUUUAGCUUCAACCUAAUUGCAACUGAAGACCUGUUCAGUUGAUUACAGUUUGGUGUUUUGAUGAGAUAUGUUUGUCAAGGGGAACAAAGGAGUGUGUACAAUCUAGCAGUUCCCUGCAGUUAACCACAAAUGCAAUAAACGAAAACGUAACACUUCCACAGAUGAGGUAGCUGACAGUGAAAGGCUAUAUCCUAGUGAUGCAGUUGGUAAACCAUAUCGGUUGUCUAGUAUUCAUAUCCAACAAGUGCGUAAAUCAAAAUAUUGUAAUGUUUGAGCACUUCAUUCAUUAGCAACUGCAAGCAGAUUAUAUUCGACAAAUUUGGGCGCCCUUGUGAUAUCGGUUCAGAACAAUUUGUGACAGAAAUUGGAAAGAUAGUAUGGGCACAUUCUCGUCCUGCAAUUGAUUCUUGGACGGUUGUUUCAGAAAGCAUCAAAGACGAUAUAUGGAACAACGUCGCUGUUAAGUACGAGGUAGCUGAAAUUUAUAAGCCUAACAUACUGACGAAGGCGAACGUUUUUUGGAGAAACUGGAAGCAUCAGCUUCGACAUGUGUUGGAUAAGUAUGACACUAUUGCCGAGAUGAAAAGAAAUAUGCCUGAACGCUUAAUUGCAAAAACAGAAGAUUGGGAAAGUUUUGUUGAUUUCUGCAAUACUGAUGAGGAUAAGAAACGUCGUGCAGCUGGUAGAAAGGCUAGAGAAUCUGUUGAGCUACUACAAUCAUGUUGCAGGAAAGGAAUUCUCGCACAAUAUACGACCUGGAAAAGGAGAGUCCAACGGGUGAAAUUAACAGAUUGUGGUGUUUGCGACAACCUAUGUAACCAUGACCAUAAAUGAUCCCGCAUCCACAUCCGCCUCUGAUGUUAAAAUUGUAAGACUAAAUCAAAUUCUUAUGAUUUUAGGAAAAUUAAAGAACUCGUAGAUGCUGAUCCAAAAGGUCAGAAUGAUAUCGACAAUGAUGCUAUUGCUAAGACAUGUGGGCGUGAUCAAAAAGGUUAUGUACGAGAAAUGGGAGGAGGUGUUACCAAGACCCAGAUGCAUGCUUCGGCAUUAAGUAGAGAGACUCUUCGUAAAGUACAACAAGAAAACAGAAGUAUGCGGUCUCGUACUCCAAACACAAGUUGGGACACUCGUGCAAAGAUGUAUUUCAUCGUCAUCGUCAUCUAAUCAGGCGCCCGAUGAGUCCAACCUGCCUGCUGCUAGCAACUGCUUCAUUAAAAACUUUAGAGGGAGAACCAUUGCUUUGGGAACUUUCAAUAAUGCUGCUACCCCAAUGGAGCAUGUGUAUAUAUGUGUUGAAGAAAUAUUUGACAGAGAUGCAGAAUUAUAUGAUGAAGAUGGAACUCUUGGUGAUAUCAUGCUUGGGCAGGUGAUCAAUUGGCCGAAAGGAAGUGUUCAUCCUUAUCGGUAAUAAACCAUGUCACUGUAGUUUUAGACUUUAGCACCGUAGUUUCGAAAGAAUUUACUCUUCUUGUCUGUUGUGGACUUUUCUUAUGCCGUCUUGUUGGAUGUUGUUUGGACGAAGAAUCCGUUUGAGGUUAAACAUUUACGAUUUAUGGAAAUUUAUUUUGAAGUUAAGAA
This is a long non-coding RNA of Papaver somniferum (opium poppy), 2070 nucleotides long. RefSeq lists it as uncharacterized. NCBI's taxonomy places the organism in Eukaryota, Viridiplantae, Streptophyta, Magnoliopsida, Ranunculales, Papaveraceae. The transcript has 9 exons. The record is from RefSeq and is a predicted model, not a curated record.